This 774-nucleotide long non-coding RNA is filed under the name Nicotiana benthamiana. RNAcentral describes it as "long non-coding RNA (NBEN_LNC023151)". The record is from RNAcentral. Lineage: Eukaryota; Viridiplantae; Streptophyta; Magnoliopsida; Solanales; Solanaceae.
UUUAUUCCUAUUCAAUAAAGAGAGAAUCUCGAUAUUCUUUACACAAAUUUUCGAUCCCCUUUUUCAACUAAAGGAACUUUUAUUCAUGUAAGGAGUCACAAAAGUAACUUCCCAUGAGUCUGCAACACAGACAAACAGACAACACAAUAUCACAAUAACAAACAUAAACAGAUAACACCAAAACACCAUAAAAUAACAUAAUAUGUGAGCAUCUCAGGCAAAGCAAACCAGCACAAGACAGCAAAAUGGAUAGGUGUUGACACUUAGGAUCUCAUUCUUCCUCGGACUCAGAUUCAGCACUCUGUAACCAUUCGACAAAGGGUUUGACAUUCUUCCAAAAUUUGGAGUCUUUGUUCCCAGCAGCACCCUUGCCGUACCACUGUACUAUAUAUUCCUCCUCCAACACAUCAGCAUCAUAUAAAGCUUUCAAAACCAGAGCCGCUUCCUUCAGUGCAACUGGGUAUUUCCCAGAAAAUUCUUCUAUAGCGCGAAGCAAUCGUAGCUGUGAGUCCUCGUCUUGAGCAACAGCAGCAAGGUAAACUUCCUUCAGUGCAACUGGGUAUUUCCCACAAAAUUCUUCUAUAGCGCGAAGCAAUCGUAGCUCUGACUCCUCGUCUUGGGCAACAGCAGCAAGGUAACUUUUCUUUUUAAGAACCUCCUUGGCAAAUCCUUUUUCGACGCCAUCCAACAGUGCCUCGUACAAAGCAGUGACAACUUCCUGAGGAGACCCGGAGAGUGAACCCAAACAGGAUCGCAAUUGGCUGGCAGCAACUC